GAUGAACGCUGGCGGCGUGCUUAACACAUGCAAGUCGAACGGAGUGCUCAUGACGGAGUUUUCGGACAACUGAUUGAGUUACUUAGUGGCGGACGGGUGAGUAACGCGUGAGGAACCUGCCUCGGAGUGGGGAAUAACAACCCGAAAGGGUUGCUAAUACCGCAUAAUGCAGUUGGGUCGCAUGGCUCUGACUGCCAAAGAUUUAUCGCUCUGAGAUGGCCUCGCGUCUGAUUAGCUAGUUGGCGGGGUAACGGCCCACCAAGGCGACGAUCAGUAGCCGGACUGAGAGGUUGACCGGCCACAUUGGGACUGAGACACGGCCCAG
This 325-nucleotide ribosomal RNA is filed under the name uncultured bacterium. Its description in RNAcentral is "bacterial SSU rRNA". It matches the Rfam family "Bacterial small subunit ribosomal RNA", at positions 28 to 334 of the family's 1533-position model. The record is from RNAcentral.